RNAcentral lists this small RNA (18 nucleotides) under Arabidopsis thaliana (thale cress). Its description in RNAcentral is "ATSL300310". The record is from RNAcentral. Lineage: Eukaryota; Viridiplantae; Streptophyta; Magnoliopsida; Brassicales; Brassicaceae.
AUUUUUUCUUCUCCUUUG